Molecule: ribosomal RNA, 468 nt
Filed under: uncultured bacterium
Lineage: Bacteria
Description: partial 16S ribosomal RNA
Rfam family: Bacterial small subunit ribosomal RNA
Source: RNAcentral
GAUGAACGCUGGCGGCGUGCCUAACACAUUCAAGUCGAACGAGGUAGCAAUACCUAGUGGCGGACGGGUGAGUAACGCGUGAGCAACCGGCCCUUGCGUGGGGGAUACGGUUUGGGAACGAACGUUAAUACCGCAUAAUGUAAUGAAAUCGCAUGGUUUUGUUAUCACAGACGUAUUGAGCAAGGAUGGGCUCGCGUAUGAUUAGAUAGUUGGUGGGGUACUGGCUCACCAAGUCUACGUUCGGUAGUCAGACUGAGAGGUUGAACGGCCACAUUGGAACUGAGAGACGGUACAGACGCCUACGGGAGGCAGCAGUGGGGAAUAUUGGGCAAUGGGCGAAAGCCUGACCCAGCGACGACGCGUGAAGGAAGAAGGUCUUCGGAUUGUAAACUUCUUUUAUUAGGGACGAACAGAUGACGGUACCUAAUGAAUAAGCCACGGCUAACUACGUGCCAGCCGCCGCAGUAA